CAGGCCAAUGAGGUCGACAUGAUUGGCCAUGUGCCGCAGAUGCUGGGGAGUGAGACCCAGAUCCUCGGAGAAUUUCAUAAAGGGUUUCUGUACCUCCUCUAACCGGUAAACGGCUGCGGACGGACAAUGGCAUCGUUACAUGUACUCACGCGAGCAUCGAUCGCUCAUUACCACCACAUUGGGGUAUCCGUUGUCAAGCCACGAUCGUAACGUUUACAAACCGGGGUAAUUGCUUGCACAUUGCCAUUACCAGUGGAGAGCUUCGCAGGCCACCUUUUAGGUUUUAUUUCGGGGAGCCAUGUUUGGGGCAUUGGAUUCUUUGAUGAGGUCAUUGGAAAUAUCGACCACUGAUUGAUCGGAUUUUUUAUGGGGAGACGAGAAACUCGGAGUCUCGAGAGUUCGUCAGAAGUUACUACCAGCUGGAGCACUGUUGAUUCCACUGACUUGCUGCAAUCAUCCCUGCAGGGCUAACUGGACUUCGGACAAGUCUGUGAGUUGUACAGCUCAUUUUGAAACAUAGGUUCGGUGUUAUGAGGGGCUUGGGAUGCUGCCCGGGGAUGGAGAGAAUUAGAGAUAGUGGAGAAUUAGCUGUUUAAACUUGCUCGGGAUGUUAUUACCAGGAAGGUAACAGUUAUCUGUACUGACGGGAAAAUAUUGGAUAGCGAUGGAUUCUUUAAAAACAAGUUUAAUUAAUUAGAGAUUACAGAAUUUCUGAAUAAUUUUUCUGUUCUAGAAUUUCAUUAACUCUUGAGUGGAAUUUUGAUAAUCAUUUCUCCUUUGAAGCGUUAAUUCAAUUCAAAAUGUGCUGACAUUUCAUUUUUAAUUAGUCCGCCGGGCAUUCAAGCGUGUACAACAGAGUCGUUAGUCAAUUAUGAGUAAGGACGAAUGCAAUAGUUCUAGGAUAAAUGAGAUUAAUUAACGUGAGAAUGGUAGGGUAUGAAGUGUUCUUAUAUAAUAAGCUUAUAAAUCAUGGACUGGGUCAUUAAGCUUCAACCACGACAUUGUGAGGCGCCAUUACCUCGAUAUCUUGAAUCUUGUUCUGUAUCCGGCUCAGUGUCAGGGGAUAGAAUCUUCACCUCUUGAAUGCAUAUUCAGUGUUGGACGGUGGCCGUCGCAACGGCAAAUGUUGCCUCCGAAUGAGUUCUCAAUCUCUUUCAUUGCCGUCUCGGGAGUCCGCAUCGGGCUGUGGUGAAUGACGUGGUUGUAUUCAGGUGGGAAUAUGGUAUGGGUUUGAUUUUAGAUAUUAAAAGUUCCAUUCAUCUGACGAGGGCAGAUGAUGCCUUCGAGGAAUUGUAUAAAACUUAUUUUUUGUUAAUGGAUAUUGUUGAUCGUUUUAUUUCUGACCUGGAGAGUUAACAAUCAAUUACUCAUUGAUGAGUAAUAUUGCCGAUGUUUGGGAGGGCAGAAUGGUUAAUUCUGGUUUCAAAUUUGAGAUUAAAAAACGAGAAAAAAAUUAUCACGAGGGCCUCAUCGUGGAAAAACAACUCACGAGAAUGGAAAGGCUUUUCGAAGCAGGAAAAAACGUUAUGAAUUCACGGAAGCGAGGAUUGAGAGGCAGUGGUGGGUAGCCUCGCGCAGUGCAAUAGCACUUAGUCACCCCAACGACAAGUCUCACCCAUUGCAAAUGAGGACUGGCACGAAACAUGAGUUCACUGCUAGAGUUCCCACCGCGAAUCUCAGCUAACCCCUUUGCGACCCACCCUAGCCACCCUUAUUCAUAGUACAUCACUUUCGUUCCACGUAAUAACGCUCGGUCUCUUGGAGCGAGAAAAAAAAAAGUACAAACAUUGUGAGUGACAUUUCUGGUUGGGUUGCUGCAGAAACUCGAGAAAUGGAAAAAAAAUUAAUAUGGGAUAUGUUUGGAACGAGGAAGCCAUCUUUCAUUUCUCCUCAUAUGUAUUUAUGGUAUAAUGAUAUUUUCCAUUUGAAAUAAA
Molecule: long non-coding RNA, 1934 nt
Organism: Diachasmimorpha longicaudata
Lineage: Eukaryota; Metazoa; Arthropoda; Insecta; Hymenoptera; Braconidae
Exons: 4
Source: RefSeq, a predicted model, not a curated record